GACGAACGCUGGCGGCGUGCCUAAUACAUGCAAGUAGAACGCACAGUUUAUACCGUAGCUUGCUACACCAUAGACUGUGAGUUGCGAACGGGUGAGUAACGCGUAGGUAACCUGCCUGGUAGCGGGGGAUAACUAUUGGAAACGAUAGCUAAUACCGCAUAAUAUUAAUUAUUGCAUGAUAAUUGAUUGAAAGAUGCAACUGCAUCACUACCAGAUGGACCUGCGUUGUAUUAGCUAGUAGGUGAGGUAACGGCUCACCUAGGCGACGAUACAUAGCCGACCUGAGAGGGUGAUCGGCCACACUGGGACUGAGACACGGCCCAGACGCCUACGGGAGGCAGCAGUAGGGAAUCUUCGGCAAUGGACGAAAGUCUGACCGAGCAACGCCGCGGGAGUGAAGAAGGUUUUCGGAUCGUAAAGCUCUGUUGUAAGAGAAGAACGGGUGUGAGAGUGGAAAGUUCACACUGUGACGGUAUCUUACCAGAAAGGGACGGCUAACUACGUG
This 505-nucleotide ribosomal RNA is filed under the name uncultured bacterium. RNAcentral's name for it is "partial 16S ribosomal RNA". It matches the Rfam family "Bacterial small subunit ribosomal RNA", at positions 28 to 507 of the family's 1533-position model. The record is from RNAcentral.